This 492-nucleotide ribosomal RNA is filed under the name uncultured bacterium. RNAcentral describes it as "partial 16S ribosomal RNA". It matches the Rfam family "Bacterial small subunit ribosomal RNA", at positions 29 to 507 of the family's 1533-position model. The record is from RNAcentral.
AGUGAACGCUGGCGGUAGGCCUAACACAUGCAAGUCGAACGGCAGCACAGUAAGAGCUUGCUCUUACGGGUGGCGAGUGGCGGAUGGGUGAGGAAUACAUCGGAAUCUACUUUUUCUUGAGGGAUAACGUAGGGACACUUACGCUAAUACUGCAUACGACCUACGGGUGAAAGCAGGGGAUCUUCGGACCUUGCGCGAUUCUAUGAGCCUAUGUCGGAUUAGCUAGUUGGCGGGGUAAAGGCCCACCAAGGCGACGAUCCGUAGCUGGUCUGAGAGGAUGAUCAGCCACACUGGAACUGAGACACGGUCCAGACUCCUACGGGAGGCAGCAGUGGGGAAUAUUGGACAAUGGGCGCAAGCCUGAUCCAGCCAUACCGCGUGGGUGAAGAAGGCCUUCGGGUUGUAAAGCCCUUUUGUUGGGAAAGAAAAGCAGCAGGUUAAUACCCCGCUGUUCUGACGGUACCCAAAGAAUAAGCACCGGCUAACUUCGUG